Molecule: ribosomal RNA, 506 nt
Filed under: uncultured bacterium
Lineage: Bacteria
Description: partial 16S ribosomal RNA
Rfam family: Bacterial small subunit ribosomal RNA
Source: RNAcentral
GAUGAACGCUAGCUACAGGCUUAACACAUGCAAGUCGAGGGGUAACGAGAGGGAAGCUUGCUUUCCUUGUCGACGACCGGCGCACGGGUGUGUAACGCGUAUCCAACCUGCCCCCAACUAGGGAAUAACCUUGCGAAAGUAAGACUAAUACCCUAUAAUUUCCUUAGAUGUCAUCUGACGAGGAAUAAAGAUUUAUCGGUUGUGGAUGGGGAUGCGUCUGAUUAGCUUGUUGGCGGGGUAACGGCCCACCAAGGCAACGAUCAGUAGGGGUUCUGAGAGGAAGGUCCCCCACAUUGGAACUGAGACACGGUCCAAACUCCUACGGGAGGCAGCAGUGAGGAAUAUUGGUCAAUGGGCGGAAGCCUGAACCAGCCAAGUAGCGUGCAGGAUGACGGCCCUAUGGGUUGUAAACUGCUUUUAUACAGGAAUAAAGUUAGCCACGUGUGGUUAUUUGUAGGUACUGUAUGAAUAAGGACCGGCUAAUUCCGUGCCAGCCGCCGCCGUAA